AUAACGAGUCAGACUUUAUUUGAGAUGGUGUGUGAUGAGAUUGGUUUGCUGCUUAGUCAAAAGUACAGUAAUACUGUGAUUGUGCCGUGUCAGAAUAACUGUAACGAGCGUCUGAUUAGUAAAUGCUGCUCAUGUUUUUGUUGAACUCUUAAUUACAAAGAUAGAAGCUUUAGAUGCUCUCAAAAAACAAGGUUUUUGUUCUUUAGUAGUGUAAUGCAUUUAUGACAUUUUUUGCUCUUUAAAUCAACAACAAAGCUGCACAUGCAUCCAUUCUGAAUCUCUUGCAGUAAUUUUGACACGAGCUGAACGCGGUGUGAUUUAACACUAAUGUGAGGAAUAUAAACUCUCUUCUCUCAUAAAAGCUAUUGACUGUUAUAUUUACACCAAAAUAAACCCAUUACUCCUCACAGACGGUCACAUAAUACUCAGUAACGUAUAGAAGUGUACCAUGUAGAAGCCACUGUGAAUAGACCAAAGCCGUGCUUGUAUCUUGUGGGUGAUUGUGGCGGUAUUGUAAUUUUUUAAUUAAAUAACAGUAUUUGUAUGAAGCCAAUACAUUGUAUAUUUUUCGUGCUGUAUAUUUAAUGUUCCUAUGAGCGGUUUGUAAUUAAACACCUGCAGUGACUCACA
Carassius carassius (crucian carp) is the source of this 630-nucleotide long non-coding RNA. RefSeq lists it as uncharacterized. The transcript is spliced from 2 exons. NCBI's taxonomy places the organism in Eukaryota, Metazoa, Chordata, Actinopteri, Cypriniformes, Cyprinidae. The record is from RefSeq and is a predicted model, not a curated record.